This is a non-coding RNA of Misgurnus anguillicaudatus (oriental weatherfish), 522 nucleotides long. The record is from RefSeq and is a predicted model, not a curated record. NCBI's taxonomy places the organism in Eukaryota, Metazoa, Chordata, Actinopteri, Cypriniformes, Cobitidae.
UAUUUAACUAACAGAUUAUUUCUUAUAGAUAUUCUUAAUAUUUGUUGUAAAUUUGAAUCAAUAUAUUUGAGAAUGUCACACUUAUAUAUUUCAGCUUUCAAAACUAUUAUAAUUGCUCAUUUCAAGUUAACAUAGGUAUUUAACAUCAACAAAAAAAAUAGUAAAUUUCAUGCAUAACUUUAACUAUGAUUUACUGAAUAUUUUUGGUGAAACAUUAUUACAUUGUAUUAUUUGAGUAAAUGUAGGCAAAAAAAUUCAUUAAAUCAGAUGUAAAUUUAAAAAUCACAAAGCCAACGGUUUUUUAAUCAGCAGCAGAAGAAACAGCGCCUCUUGCAGGAAGAUAAACAACCUCAAAACUCCUCAAAAAUCCUGGUACAAGUGCUGGUGGUCCACCUGUCCGGGUUCAAGAGGUGUGGAUUCUGCAUGCUGUGAAUUUGAGAGACCUCUCAGAGUUUAUUUAGCUGAUUGUUUUUGUAACAUGUACAAUGUUUGCCAUUUUCAAUAAAACAACGUAUACAAAUU